GAUGAACGCUGGCGGCGUGCCUAAUACAUGCAAGUCGAGCGAAUGGAUUAAGAGCUUGCUCUUAUGAAGUUAGCGGCGGACGGGUGAGUAACACGUGGGUAACCUGCCCAUAAGACUGGGAUAACUCCGGGAAACCGGGGCUAAUACCGGAUAAUAUUUUGAACUGCAUGGUUCAAAAUUGAAAGGCGGCUUCGGCUGUCACUUAUGGAUGGACCCGCGUCGCAUUAGCUAGUUGGUGAGGUAACGGCGCACCAAGGCAACGAUGCGUAGCCGACCUGAAAGGGUGACCGGCCACACUGGGACUGAGACACGGCCCAGACUGCUACGGGAGGCAGCAGUGGGGAAUCUUCCGCAAUGGACGAAAGUCUGACGGAGCAACGCCGCGUGAGUGAUGAAGGCUUUCGGGUCGUAAAACUCUGUUGUUAGGGAAGAACAAGUGCUAGUUGAAUAAGCUGGCACCUUGACGGUACCUAACCAGAAAGCCACGGCUAACUACGUGCCAGCCGCCGCCGUAA
RNAcentral lists this ribosomal RNA (515 nucleotides) under uncultured bacterium. Its description in RNAcentral is "partial 16S ribosomal RNA". It matches the Rfam family "Bacterial small subunit ribosomal RNA", at positions 28 to 523 of the family's 1533-position model. The record is from RNAcentral.